Non-coding RNA from Cyanistes caeruleus (blue tit), 3132 nucleotides. The record is from RefSeq and is a predicted model, not a curated record. NCBI's taxonomy places the organism in Eukaryota, Metazoa, Chordata, Aves, Passeriformes, Paridae.
GGGACAACUAAUUCAGCCAGCCAGGACUGACCACACAGAAUUCCAAAUGUGUGCAAGGAGAGCAGCACUCAACAAAAGCUGGCUGUUGUCACAUGAACCUCGGUGUGUUCAGUCAUAAUAGCCUCAUUUUAGCCAGGAAGAAUUUUGUCUUUGACAAGAGAGAAACCACUCCCCUCUGGUUUUGUAAGGAAUACCCUUUUCACCAGAGGGAUCAGGGAGUUGUCCCACCAAGACCAAGGAUCUGGGGUAGAGGAUCAUAGAGAUAAAGCUACUUCUUCUCUGCUGUCUGCAGAGACCAGCAUGCAUGAUAGAUGAGCCUCAGUAAAAAUGCAUGAAAGCCAGGAACAUCUGCUUGGAUCAUGGAAAAAAUAUUCCAGUGUAUUGGAAAAAGCCAGGAGCUUGUUGCAGGCUCCCUCUUCCUGCUUGUGAUGAAGGCAAGGAGAAUUAGAAAUAGCAAAGGCAGAUGAGUGAGCAGCAGUCCUUCAGCUUGACCUCCCCUAUGACAAUGGAAGGAAACAGAGCGGCUGUGGGAGCCAGGAGCACAGGAGUCACCCAUCGCCUGGAAGGACACUUGGAACCUCCUCACCCACAAAGCGUGAGCAGAGUAGGAGUCACGUCAACACCACGCUCAGGGGAAAUGGCUACAGAGAGGACAGGGGGUGUUAGACCUCUCUGUCCAGUUUGGCAAAGAAGGAAAGAAGACAAAAAAGCCUAAGUGAGAGCAAAGGUGAAGCCUGCAUUGGAGCUCAGAGUAGCUGAGCCUCAGAGCUACUGUUGUCUCCACAAGGCAUUUCUUCUGGUGGAGAGCCUUUACUGAAGCAAAGCUGAACACCUCCUAAUGCAGAUCAGCCAGAACUGACCCUCCCAUAAAGCCAGUGGAAUUAUUAAUUGCCAGCAUCAGAUAUGUUCAGCCUACUUUCCUGAGUGGGAACUGAUCCAGAUCUCUGCAAAUGUAUUUGUUACUCAUUACGUACACAUCAGUAAGAUUUGUUAAGCAACUUUCAGCUUGGAAAAGAAGCAGAUUGUCUAAAUACUGAGAGAGGCAAAUCACCGAUGAUGACUGCAGGCAAAAGUGACUGACAAAAGCAGCCAAAUUGCUUCCACCAACGGAGUUUCAUAAGAAGGUUGUAGAGCCCUCAGAAGCCUGCCCAGAAAGUCAAUGCUGCCAGUCUCUCUCUGGAUUUGGUGCCUGGAUUUAAUGACAUUGGCUUGCCAGGAAAAGAAGGCAAUGAGAGUAAUUAAGGAAAAACAGAGAAGGGAAAAGCACAACAAGAAUUAGUACAAUGCUCAGGAAAAAAAUCCAAAUCCAGGGAGGAAAUGCUAGGUCCCUGGUAGUAGCAACCACACUCAGCAGCCAAGACCCAACAUAUCCGUCCCUGAGGCAAUUUCUUUUCUUUUUUUUGCAUCAUGAUGGAAUAGGGGCACUGGGAGGCUGGAAUGCCCAUCCCUUCUGGUGACAGUGCAGCAGGUGAAGCUGGGCCAGAUCAGAUUCACACUGUGGCUCUUCUUAGCAGAGCUCCAGUUCCACCACAGCUGCUGCCUGGCUGCUCCCGUCCCCAGAUCCCAAAGCAAGGUUAUGUCCCAGCUGUGUCCCUUGCUCCCCCAGCAGGGCCCAAAGGUCACAGCCAGGCUGUCACAACAACUACUGAAGCUGCCACAGGAACAGGGACCACAGCACAGGGAGAAGGCUACAGAAGCUCAGUCAUAUCCUCCAAAGGAUGAAGCUGUUCCCACCCCAGGCUGCCUUCAAUGCACAGCACAUUUAUAGGCACCUGGCUUCUCCUACCCAGAUGUUUGAUGAAAACUUGAUGAAAACGUCAUCAGGCUGUAAUGCCAGCUUUGGGAACAAAGUGUCCAGAAAACCUUGGCAGAGACUUCUAGCUGAUAACAGAGAAACCAGAGGGCAGAUGCUCACAGUGCAGGAUGUCCCUUGCUAAGGGAGGUAGUGCAGGUCCAGCCUAGCAGCCUGAACUUCCCCAGACAGAUGCCUGCAACAGAGCAUCCCUGUGGCCCCAGCAUGCCAUCCUUCCCCAGGCUGUGGUGAGACAUGAAGCAGAAGUGGGCGCUGGUCUGAAAUGAAGUGACAGUGCAGGACACACUGCCUCGCUCCGGGGUCUGUAACAAAUGCCACUCACGCCUCUGCUCAUCACCACCCCUCUUAAUGAGCAGGCUCUUUGUGACAGGUUUUAUUGUGAGAGUCACAGAGCUGCCUUGGGUUUAAAGAUUCACCAGUUCUUUCUCAUUCCCCAUGCCACAUAAACAGCAUGUUUCUAUUCUGACUUGAACUAUUACAGCAACUAGAGAUGUUUGUGAUUUCUCUGAAACUAAAAUAAAAGCAACCUUUAUAUUGGACAAAAUUAUGAAGGACUUCUUUUUAACAGUCCUUUUUAUUGAAAAAACUCCACUUAAAUUUCAAUGAGAGCAUUGCUUGCCAGUAAGAAUGGAGGCAGAAUUGAAAAAAGUUUUGGAGUUGAGUCCAACUCCUGUAUUUACAGGGUAUAAGUACAACCGAGGCACUUGUCAUAGCAUGGGUGGAAGCACUCAUAUCCCAGAGCAAGAGCCGAGAGGGGAGGAUGUCACUUCUGGUUGCUCAGAUCCAAGACCUCCUGUCCCCAUCCACACCCUGCACCACAGCACUAAGGACAUGUAAACCCCUCCUCAAAUCCUGUUCUUCAUCCCACACAAAAAACUCACAUCUUUAGCUCUGAAGGUCCAAGCCCUGGCAGUAGCAGUGGCCACUGCAUGUGCAGAUGUGCUGCCUGUGUGUGCAUGUGUGCUGUGGCAUAUGUGUCAGCAAGUUAUUCCUGCCAUCCCUGUGGCUGAAGCACACUAAGCAGGCAUGUGGCAAAAGCAACACCAUGCUAAGAAACCCCGUAACAGAACGUGAGGUCUCUGGGUUCUGGGUGUGUAUCCCUGGGUGUGCACACGUGUUCCUGCUCCUGCUCAAGCCACUUGCAGUUAACCUCCCAAGGUCUCUUCCACCUGCAUGUUACUGCACCUCAGGACAGCUGAAAGGGGUUGCAAGAGAAGUUCCUGAAGAGGAAACGCGUAGGCCCUUGUUUGAGGGUAGAAAAAAGAGAUGUUUUUAUAAGUGCUAACCUGCUCACCUUGGCAACCCGCCACUAGAAGAAG